RNAcentral lists this long non-coding RNA (2057 nucleotides) under Zea mays. Its description in RNAcentral is "drought responsive lncRNA". The record is from RNAcentral. Lineage: Eukaryota; Viridiplantae; Streptophyta; Magnoliopsida; Poales; Poaceae.
GGAGGAUUUUGCUGCGAUGGCGGUCCUGCAAGGGAAUUCCUGCAUUGGAGCUUCCUAUAAACUGUAGCGGGUUUUCUGAAGCUAGUGGAACUUUGUAAAGGCCUCGUAGUGUUACCCUGCCUCGCCUCCUCGGUAGAGGUGUAUGGGAAGUCGCGAUCCCUUGGCAGAUGGGUAACAUGACUUGUGGGUAAAGAUGCGCCACCUCUGCAGAGUGUAAAACUGGUAUACUAGCCGUGCUCACGGUCAUGAGCAGCUCGGACCCUCACAUGAUUAAAUUAUGGAACUUAAACUCAAUUUGUCAUAUGCAUUGCAUCGCAGGUGAUGUUGUUACUUUUGUUCUACUACUUAAUUGGGCUGGUAUUUACUUAUACUUAGUAAUUGCUAAUAAAAUUUUGACCAACUUUAAAAGCAAUGCUCAGCUCUAACCAUCCUCUUUGGUAAGCCUUACACUUCACGUGAGCUCCCACCUUUGGCGAGUUCAUGCACAUUAUUCCCCACAACUUGUUGAGCGAUGAACGUAUGUGAGCUCACUCUUGCUGUCUCACACCCCCCCCACAGGUCAAGAGCAGGUACCACAGGAUGAGGCGCUUGGAGGAUGCUGCGAUGUGUUCGUGAGAGGUCUAGGUCGUCGUCUCCCAGUCAACUUUGGGUUGCUGGAUCGUUUCCUCAUAUGAUGUAAUUAUUUCUGUACAGAACUCCUGUUAUAUAGUAAAGAUGUGACAUUCGAUCCUGUGCCACUAUGCAUCAUAUGUGUGAGACUUGGUCCCAGCACACCUGGUGUUUAUGUUCGCGCCCGGGUUUUGGACCCCUAAAACCCGGGUGUUACAGAAGUGGUAUCAGAGGAAUGUUGACUGUAGGACGAAACCUAGAUAGAACUGGACAACCAAUACUUACUUAUCUUUGCUACUCUGAUUCUUUUCUAAACUUCUCUUAAUCUUUCUCAUCUAUUUCCGCUUUACUCUGAUUAUUCUUACCUUUUCAUUCUAAAGACAAAUGUGGAUUUCACACUUUGAAAUCCUGUGCCUAAAGUGACUUUUAGGAAUAGGCGACCUAAUCUUAGGAACAAAAACAAAACUAUUUUUAUAGGUAUCUAUAUACUUGAAUGUUUGUUCUUAUGAUACUUGUCUGAUUUGGAUCUUUGAUUGAGUGUGAUGGGUUGUGGAGUAAUGUCCACAAUUACAUCUACAUAUACAUAUAGGCAUAAAUAUAAAUAAAUAAAAUUCAUAAGAUUAAAAAAACUAGAUUAUCCUCCAUUAAAGUGUAUCUAUUUUAGAUAGAUCCAUCUUAUCUUAAAAGAUUCUUUCUUAUCUUAGUAGAUUCAUCUUAUCUUGAAAAGAUUUUAUGUCAUCCUAAUAGAUCUAACUGACCUCAAAAGAUUCUACCUUAUCCUUAUGGAUUCAUCUUGCCCUAAUUAGCAUAUUUAUCCCACUCUAGAAAAACAACCAUGAGCUAAUCCAAAAUUUAUUUAGAUCUUAACUAGUCUAAUCCAGUCAUAUCCAACCUAAUCUAGAUUUUAUCUAAUCUAUUAUGAUCUAAUCCAGAGUAAGUUACUUAAUGCUCUUACAAAAGAUAAGGCCAUACCCUUAAGCCUAAAUUGGUGACUUAGAUCAACUCGGCCAUACACAACAACUUGACCUACAUAAUAGGUUACAUAACCUAUCCCACCCAUCUAGAAUCAAACAACCAAACCAGAUUCAGACUAAUCUCAUUUAACUCAUAGCCAUCUACUAAACUAGCUGCUCCACCUACUACUUUAUCUUAACUACAUGUCCCUAAUUCGGAUAACAACUUCAAGAACGAAGAUCGAAGAUGAUCGACCUCAUCAAAUCAAGGAAGGAUAAGAUUCAAGCCAGAUCUUCAAAAGAAUCAAGAGCCACAAUCUUCGAUAGAGUCUUUUCUUACCCUACUCUUUCUUACCCCAAACCUAUAACUGCCUUAAAAUAUCUUUUAUCCUGCAUAAUAAAGUGGCUAUACCCAUAUAGACCCCUGCUUUCCUAAUCAACUGAUAAUUUGCGAUAAAAAAAGAGUUUUGGUAUUAAAAUCAAUUAGAAACUAAC